Molecule: long non-coding RNA, 1401 nt
Organism: Talpa occidentalis (Iberian mole)
Lineage: Eukaryota; Metazoa; Chordata; Mammalia; Eulipotyphla; Talpidae
Exons: 3
Source: RefSeq, a predicted model, not a curated record
AUAGGCAGUAGUUUCUAUGGUAACAAGCUGAGUGGAGGGUCCACAAAGAAAGGACUGUGUGUGUUCUGACACGGGGGGAAUUGAAAAUGAAUCCUCAACAUUUGGAGGGCUCCCUGGCCCCAUGUCAACCGCGAGCAGCGCCAUCUCCACAGGAACGCGCCAGCAAGAACAGGGCCAGAGACUUCGCUUUCUUAGGUUAUUCUCCCUACGGGCUCACCUUUUGUCUUUCUUUAAAAGGGCCGACCGUGUUCUGUCUUUCUCACUGCAUGUGGAGAUAGGAGUUCACAAAAGGAGCCGGCAAGCUUGCUUUAAAUCCCACCGGCCAGUCUCUGGGCCACUUAUGGGAAAAAGCAAACAGAAUCAAGAAAAUCAAUUAUUCCUGCAAAGGAAUCUCCUCAUUUAAAAAAAAUCCUUCAAGUAUAUCAAAAUAUUCUUCAAACAAAAUUGAAACAAACUGAUUCUCUCCUUUGAUUUGAGAUCUUGCUGUGAAGCCCUCCGAGGUCCUCAGAAGAUGCUUGGCUGCGUCUGCUACAGUGUGAUGGGCCUCAGUGCACACAAGGGGUGCCCCACCGAUGGGUGUGGGGUCAGCAGCCACACUGUGCUCUAGCUGAGCACCCCCACACUCUGCACAGUGCAGAUCUGUGACCUAAGGAGGAACCCCAGGGUCACCCCUGCCCUCACUGAGCCAGUGACAAGAUGUGGGGACAUGUAAAUAAAUGCUGAUCAUGGAGCUUGAUCCUCACCGAGGAGGAAAUGGUUAAGUCUGCUUAGUCAAGGGAGGCUUUGAAAGAGACACUUGUGCUGAGCCUUGAAUGAUGCAUAGGAGAGGACAUUCCAGCUCAUGGAGCCCUGAUCGCAAAAAACGAGUGUGAAACAGCAUGGCACCAGGAGCCUGCCUGGGAGCAGCAAGUGGCUCAGUAUUACUGGAGAACGGGGCAUUUGCAUGCUUCCUUCAACCUGCCUUUCACCAGGUUUUUCUAGCCUUGCCAGCGUAGAGCAUCCAAAUACACACUCAUACAUGUGCACACACACACACACAUACUUGAUGGCAUGAACCCACUCUAGCUCUGCGUGUCUCAUGAAGUAUCUUUCCAAGGCUUGGAACUCAGACAGAUGCACACGCCCAGGAAGCUGGCUGUGUCUGUCCUUCUCAGUGUCUCACUUGGCACCUCUGUCCUGCCUGUGUCACCAAAAGAUAUAGACCUGGAUCUUUGUCCAGAGAAAUACUAAGGAAUUAUCACAACAAAUGUAGCAGAUAUAUAAUUCUCUGAAUAAUUCUCACUUUUGAUUAAAGAGUGUUUUCUCCUCCACAUUUGUUGUUGUUACAUCAAAUCUAAAUCUGCCUACCUCAGAAGUUCUCAGCUGCCUGAAAGCCAGAGGAACACUAACUCCAUCAUCCUC